GGAGGUUAAAAUCCUCCCUAG
Molecule: transfer RNA, 21 nt
Filed under: Sebastes sp. West 624
Lineage: Eukaryota; Metazoa; Chordata; Actinopteri; Perciformes; Sebastidae
Also listed under: 4 other names
Description: partial tRNA-Thr
Source: RNAcentral